GCAAACUUGGUCAUUUAGAGGAAGUAAAAGUCGUAACAAGGUUUCCGUAGGUGAACCUGCGGAAGGAUCAUUACUGAGUGUAACCCUUUUUCGAAGGGUACCUCCCGUCCUUUGCAGGCCCUUUUUAGGGGCUUUCAGACUUUGCUUCGGCGGGGUAACCCGCCGGAACACCCUUAAAAAAUUCUGAUCAAAAUUGUUCAGUCUGAGAAUAUUUUAAAAUUAUAAAAUAAAACUUUCAACAACGGAUCUCUUGGUUCUGGCAUCGAUGAAGAACGCAGC
Molecule: unclassified non-coding RNA, 279 nt
Filed under: uncultured fungus
Lineage: Eukaryota; Fungi
Description: partial contains small subunit ribosomal RNA, internal transcribed spacer 1, and 5.8S ribosomal RNA
Rfam family: Eukaryotic small subunit ribosomal RNA (bases 1-73)
Source: RNAcentral